AGCAGCCGCGGUAAUUCCAGCUCCAAUAGCGUAUAUUAAAGUUGUUGCAGUUAAAAAGCUCGUAGUUGAAUUUCGGGAUCAAUAUAUCGGUCGUGCCAUUGGUACGUACUGGUAUCAUUGGUUUCUCCUUUCUGACGAACCAUGAUGUCAUUAAUUUGGUGUUAUGGGAAGUUAGGACUGUUACUUUGAAAAAAAUUAGAGUGUUUAAAGCAGGCUUUAGCUUGAAUACAUUAGCAUGGAAUAAUGAAAUAGGACGUUCGAACCUAUUUUGUUGGUUUCUAGGAUCAACGUAAUGAUUAAUAGGGAUAGUUGGGGGCAUUAGUAUUCAAUUGUCAGAGGUGAAAUUCUUGGAUUAUUGGAAAGACUAACUACUGCGAAAGCAUUUGCCAAGGAUGUUUUCAUUAAUCAAAGAACGAAAGUUAGGGGAUCGAAGACGAUCAGAUACCGUCGUAGUCUUAACCAUAAACUAUGCCGACUAGGGAUCGGAUGAUGUUAAUUUUUUAAUGACUCAUUCGGCGCC
RNAcentral lists this ribosomal RNA (520 nucleotides) under uncultured Glomus. Its description in RNAcentral is "SSU rRNA". It matches the Rfam family "Eukaryotic small subunit ribosomal RNA", at positions 569 to 1087 of the family's 1831-position model. Lineage: Eukaryota; Fungi; Glomeromycota; Glomeromycetes; Glomerales; Glomeraceae. The record is from RNAcentral.